Molecule: ribosomal RNA, 496 nt
Filed under: uncultured Glomeromycotina
Lineage: Eukaryota; Fungi; Glomeromycota
Description: partial small subunit ribosomal RNA
Rfam family: Eukaryotic small subunit ribosomal RNA
Source: RNAcentral
CCAAUAGCGUAUAUUAAAGUUGUUGCAGUUAAAAAGCUCGUCGUUGAAUUUUGGGUUUGGCCGAUUGGUCCGUUCUUGUAACGAGUACUGGUCGGUUGGGCCUCACCGCCUGGUGAUGCGUAAUGUCCUUUAUUGGGUGUUGCGAGUAGCCAGGACUUUUACCUUGAAAAAAUUAGAGUGUUUAAAGCAGGCUUAUGCCGGAAUACAUUAGCAUGGAAUAAUAGAAUAGGACGAUGAUUCUAUUUUGUUGGUUUCUAGGACCAUCGUAAUGAUUAAUAGGGAUAGUUGGGGGCAUUAGUAUUCAAUUGUCAGAGGUGAAAUUCUUGGAUUUAUUGAAGACUAACUACUGCGAAAGCAUUUGCCAAGGAUGUUUUCAUUAAUCAAGAACGAAAGUUAGGGGAUCGAAGACGAUCAGAUACCGUCGUAGUCUUAACCAUAAACUAUGCCGACUAGGGAUCGGGCGAUGUUGUUUCAAUGACUCGCUCGGCACCUUAUG